CCAGCCGCCGCGGUAAUACGGAGGGUGCAAGCGUUGUUCGGAAUUAUUGGGCGUAAAGGGCGCGUAGGCGGUAAUGUAAGUCAGAUGUGAAAUACUCCGGCUCAACCAGAGAAUUGCAUCUGAAACUACAUAACUAGAGUACAGAAGAGGGAAACGGAAUUCCCGGUGUAGAGGUGAAAUUCGUAGAUAUCGGGAGGAACACCAGUGGCGAAGGCGGUUUCCUGGUCUGAUACUGACGCUGAGGCGCGAAAGUGUGGGGAGCAAACAGGAUUAGAUACCCUGGUAGUCCACACUGUAAACGGUGAACACUAGGUGUGGGAGGUGUAAUACCUUCCGUGCCGUAGCUAACGCGUUAAGUGUUCCGCCUGGGAAGUACGGCCGCAAGGUUGAAACUCAAAGGAAUUGACGGGGGCCCGCACA
This 420-nucleotide ribosomal RNA is filed under the name uncultured bacterium. RNAcentral's name for it is "bacterial SSU rRNA". It matches the Rfam family "Bacterial small subunit ribosomal RNA", at positions 508 to 927 of the family's 1533-position model. The record is from RNAcentral.